This is a long non-coding RNA of Acinonyx jubatus (cheetah), 16601 nucleotides long. RefSeq lists it as uncharacterized. Lineage: Eukaryota; Metazoa; Chordata; Mammalia; Carnivora; Felidae. The record is from RefSeq and is a predicted model, not a curated record. The transcript has 2 exons.
AAAAAUAUUUUAAAGUCCAUCCUUAAUGGUAUUUGAUUUUCUGAUAGCAAAAGACCUCAGUUUCUCAUUCUUCUAUUAGAAUAACAUAAUGCUUAUGAUUAUAAUAAACACGGCACAUAAAUGUUUCCCUGUGUUGUUCUGACACCAUCAAGUUUCACUGAGGGAGUUUCUGUACAUUUCAAUGGAGACUCCUCUGAGAGGUGUGGCCUCUGAUGGUCUCCGUACAAGGCAGUACUCAUAGUUUUUCCCCGGGGGUCCUGCAUAGCAUCCACUACAGACAGUUGAGGCCCCACCAGCCCAGGCUGUUGCCAAGGACGCUGCUUUAUAACACAGCUUUAUAACAAUUUGUGCUUCAAAACACAGAUUGACUGGAUGUCUUUCCAUGGGGACACUCAGGUCAACCUCUUACUGGCUGUAAACACCAAUCUACGGUGAAUGAAUUACAGACUGUUUAAAAGAGCUUCAGGAAAGGGGCACCUGGGUGGCUCAGUCGGUUGAGUGUCUGACUCCGCCUUGGGUCGUGAUCUCACGGUUCGUGGGUUCGAGCCCCGCGUCGGGCUCUGUGCUGACAGCUCAGAGCCUGGAGCCUGCUUCGGAUUCUGUGACUCCCUCUUUCUGCCCCUUCCCCAUUCACGCUCUGCCUCUGUCUCUCUCAGAAAUAAAUAAGCAUAAAAAAAUAAUUAAAAAAAAAGCUUCGGGAAGUGAAAAGGAGUCUCCAUAUUCAUGCCAUUACUAAUAUUAACAAUUAUUAUCACAAAUUCCCUAUAGGUAAAUAACAGAUAACGGUCUUUGGAGAUUUGCUUAUGAAAUAAUAGGCGCUUAAUACACAUGAUAAGCGAAAACAAAUUUUCAUCGCUGUUCUAAAUAUUCUGGCGGAUCACAGGAAAGGAAGUGUUUACAAAUUUACAAAACGGGCUUUAAGCACCCUUGAAGGAUGACGUUGUGUCCUUGGCCCAUCAAUCAGAGGACCUGUGGCCUUGGGGAGGAGGAGGACCAUCCUAGGAGGGAUGCAGGGAGACAGAGAGUCAGGUGUCGGCUUCUGGUCUCAAAAAUGGUCUCCAGAAGAAGGGAGAUCUUCAAGUCUACCCACAAACAAGUAGAUUAAAAAGAAACUAAAUGAAGAGCUAAUCACUUGGCCCUAAGGAAAGGAUUGAGGCCAUCUUGUCUGUGAAUGAGGGAGUUUUUAAGGGCUUGAAAAGGGAGGCCCGGAGGCCUGGUGAAGCUGGGAGAACCACACCAGGGGGAGGGGACAGUUUCAAAGACAGCUUGGCUUUGCCGUGUGCCCCAGGGAGCUGAGGUGCAGGCAGGCCUGAGCCAGCAGAUUAGCCCUAACUAUCCCUGUCAGUUAGCCUCUGUAUUAUUAGUCUGCUCAGGCUGCCAUUACAAAAUACCACCCACCGGGUGUGGCUUACACAAUUGAAAUUUAUUUCCCACGCUUCUGGAGCCUAGAAGUCCAAGAUCAAGGUGUCACCGAGAUGGUUUCUCCCCAGGCCUGUCUCCAUGGCUUGCGGACGGCCGCCUUCUCCCUGCGUCCUCAGAUGGCCUUCCCUCCAUACAUAAGUGUCUCCCGGGGUCUCUCCUGCUUCUUUCAAGGACACUAGUCAUAGGGGAUUAAGGCCCCACCCUGGUGACCUCAUUUAACCUUAAUUAUCUCUUUAUAGGCCCAGUCUCCAAAAACAGUCACAUUCUGAGGUGCGCUGCAGACCUUGAAGAAGAAAUCUUGGUCAAAGAUGUGCUGUGCCUGGAAAACAGAGCAGCAAGGAGCCUUCAGGGACCAGAGGUUCACUCUCUUCAUUCCAAAGGAAGGGAGUCCUGAAGAAGGUAAGUGGUUUCCUCGGGACUGACACACAGGCAUCUUGGCUCGAAGUGGAAUCUCUUUUUGGGAGAAAGAGACAUGAGCCCACGAAUGAGCUGGGUCCACCUCGGUUUCUUCUUUGGGCUCCCGUGUAGAGAGUAACGUUGAUUUAAGCCCCAAUAAAUGAAGAUGCCUGUCUUCUUCGGGGGAUUUUAAUGGUUGGUAUAAAAAGCCCGCACAUGUUAGGAAUCUGUUGUGAAUGAAUUCGAUUUUCAAGUCUCAAUUAAAACUCCAGAACAGUAGCCAAAGGAGUCAGAAAGGGCCCUGCGCUUAAGCUGAGAAACUUUCCAGCAUCACCGGUGACAGUUUCUCCAGGACCCUUGAAGUCUACACCCACGUGCACCGCUCCUCCCCUCAAUGAGCCACCUGGCCUGAGAAUGCACAGUUUCCAAUGACUCCACCUCCCUGACGUCAGGGAUUGGUUGAGAGGUGGGCACGCCUCAAAGCUGGGCCAAUCAUAGCCCUCUACAGCCUGGCUGUUUUCUCGGACCUGGCCAAUCAGCAUCUCUGCUCAUUAUCUUUUUUUUUUUUGGAAACCGGAGACACCCAUUUUCUCUCUGGUCCUUGAGCAGCUGGGACCCAAAGCCGCAGGAGGGGAUUAAGACAGGCCCUCACUGGGUUUUGGUUACUUGAGUCUCUACAUUUCCUUUUCCUAUUUGCGUUACUUUGAGUUGGGUUUCUGUCACUUGAAACCAAAGUAGACUUUCCAAAAGCAGUAAACUUUUUCUUAGGAAAAUAAGCAUAUGCACAGAAUGCAAAUUUGUCAUAACAUUUAAGGGAAACAUAGACCUCAUCCCUUGAACUCAGUAGGGUCCAGGGACCGCCCCCCUCCCCCUUCCGUGGAAAAAAAAAACAAAACCCUUUCAAUGAAACAGUGGUUAAUAAGGGGCUUGAUUUGAUGAUGGAAUUGCGGCUGGUCUUUCUCUAGCGUCUCCGACUGUUCUGAGGGGCACAGAAUGCGUAAAAAAUACAGCUACUGGCUGUGCAUAAUUCUUAACUCAGAGUGGAAAACAUGGGCUGAGCUGUAAGUGCAGAUAAAUACACUAUUCCUAUAGAAUUUGUAACUCUUCAGCCAUGGGGAAAAAUGAGUCAGAAAUCCAAAACUCCCCUUUGGACUAAUGAAACUGAGACCCUGUGGGACACCUGAAUUGGCCAGGAGAGACAAUCUGUCCCUCCGCAGAGACUCCAUUUUGGUUAGCAACAUCAGAAAUAUUUCCCUACGACCCCCCCCCCCCCGAAAUAUUUCCCCACGAUUCCACGACGACCCAGGUAUUGAUCGCAAGUUUGCUAUUUGAGCUAUGCCUGACUUCCCAGGGCCAGAGGCAGCUCUGAUUUCCUUCUGCCAGCAGAGAUCUUUUCUAACCCAUCAACCUCGUCCAAGUUUUCUAAAAUUCCAUCUCUUCCCGGGCCAGCUUUUUUUUAAUAGCCCAGCUUCUCAGUCCAUGUGCCCCCGUGCCAAACUCCUUAAGUUUCUCUUUUACUCUCCGUAUUUUGCUGAGUCUUAUUACAGGUUCUUGGCUUAGGAACCACAGUCCUCCACUAUUUUCUAUUCCCUGUGGCUUUCCAGAUGGAACUGGUCUGUUCCUCGGGGAUCCAAUAAAUCAGACCCUUUUCUGAUUCUUAACUUUGCGUCGCGCCCAAGCCCGGUUCUGCUGGCCGCCCCCAGUUCUUCCCCUUCAGAGUCCCGGAUGCCCGCGUCUCCACAGCACUCAGACCCAGUCUGUCCUGAUUUCACAUUGCAGCCAUAGGACAUUCUGCCAAGUGACAGGGCACCAGAAGGGCUAAGCCCUUUUUGUUUUCUCCUUGCUAUGGUUUCAUCAGGCAUUAUGUGUGUGCCUGCCUCUGACAACAGGUUCGCAGAUGCUCUUUGGCCUAGAAACUUCUGUUCCCCUAAAGCGGCAGCUGUCGAGAAUGGUAUAUCCCCCACUCGGCUUGCGGCCACAGGCAGGCCGACUUCAGCAGAAUCCACAGGCUCUCAUCGGCCUCAGCUUAAUGAAUAAUCACAAGAAAAACAUGGGUCAGCACUUGCCAAGGGGCAGCUCGGGGAUUGCGUUGGCUCACUCAGGGUCUCCGUGCUUCCCACUUUCUUUAAGCAAGACUUCUUGGCCGCUCUUCCUCAGAAAGUACCGGAAGCGGAGGAAAUUCCCUCUUUCUGGCAUAUGACACCCUCUCAACUUUCCUUCGGGGCUUUUUUUUUUUUUUUUAAUUGAUUUCAUUUAGGCUAUUGCAAUAAAGAGAACACCCACCUCAGCUCCAAAUUUCAGAAAGUCUCAGUAGGGUGGCUUUGUCUUAGACCUUUACAGGGAGGAGUUAAAGCGACAGGUGGGGUGAUUUUACAGUUGCGAUUCUUUCAGUGUGAGGCUUUCUUCAUAGGAGACAGCAGACCAUUUGCUCACAGGCCCCAAAUCCUGAUGUUGUCUGUUUCCCAGGACGCGUUCCCCAGAUAAUUGACUCUGGCUGUCCCCGCCCCCUCCCAGCCCCACGGGAAACCAUGAAACAGAUGUGGUAGCAUGACCACGUGCAAGCCGGGGGCUUUUUGUGCCAGAAGCAAGUGGCUAUUCAUUCCCCUAGGAAGCUCCUAGCAGCUGCCAUGAAGCCGGACGGGGCUCAGUCACAAAAAGUAAUAUGGUCUUAUAUGCAGAGGAGGGGUAUAGUCAGAGAGGGGCCAGAGUGGGUGGAGGCAGUCAGAAAAGCCUUUCCGGGAGAGGGAAAGCGAGGGCCUGUGGACUUCAAAAGACGCACAGUGGCGCAGCGGAUGGUUAGGGCGUGCAUCCUGGAGCCAGACGCUCUGGGUACGAAGCCUGCCUGUGGUUUGCUGGCUGCCUGACUUUGGAAGACAAGUGAUAUAACCUUCUCGUCCUCAGUUUCCUCUAUAGAGGGAAAUCAACGGCAGUACCAGAUUUGUUUGCUAUUGCUAUUUGUUGGCUAUUACACACCCAGGGGCUUAGAGCAACACCCAUCGGUUCAGUCACCGAGUUCUGUGCCUGAAGUCCAGCCUGGCCGUACCUGCACAGCCUCUGCAAGGCUGACGUUAAGCUGUCCCCCAGGCUGAGUUCUCGUCUGGCGACUCUGGGGAGAAAUCUGCUUCUGAGCUCGUUUUCGCCCCUGGCAGAAUUUGCUUCCUUGUGGUGGCGGGACUGAUGUCCCUGUUUCCCUGCUGGCUGUCGCCUGCGGGCCAAUCUGAAGUCCUCAGUGUCCCUCGCCAGGUGGCCCCCUCCAUCUUCAAGUCAGCAGUGGCCCCUCAGAUCCAUAUCAUACUUUGGAUCUUUGAUUUCCUUUUCUUUGAUCAGCCGGAGAAAACUCCCUGCUUUUAAACGGCUCCCGCGAUUAGGUCAGGCACACCGGGAUAACCUGUCUAUCCCAAGGUCAACUCAUCUGGGACCUUAAUUACAUCUGUACAAUUCCUCGACACCAGCACCUAGAUUAACAUUUGGUAGAAUAAUGAGGAGAGGGCGUGUUUACACCAGGGCUGGGAAUCUAAUGGGGCCACCUUGGAAUUCUGCCUACUGAACAUGCCUACUUCUUUUCUUCUUUUUUUUUUCUUUAAUGUUUUUAUUUAUUUUUGAGACAGAGACAGACAGAGCAUGAGCAGGGGAGGGGCAGAGAGAGAGGGAGACACAGAAUCCGAAGCAGGCUCCAGGCUCUGAGCGGUCAGCACAGAGCCAGACGCGGGGCUUGAACUCAAGAACUGUGAGAUCAUGACCUGAGCCGAAGUCGGACGCUCAGCCGACUGAGCCACCCAGGCGCCUCCAAGCACAUGCCUACUUCUAAGGAAACCGUGAGGCCUAAGUUAGCACGUGUACGGGGAGUCCCUGGGCCAGACCAAGUAUGUUUCAUGUUUCGGGAAGAGGGAUUUGCAUGCAGUUAACCAGUUGAGUUCCCAGGAUUGAUGAGAACUUCGUGCGGUGAAAGGAGAGCGUUGGGGACUGGGAACAAUGGAACAGCUGACAAACAGCCUCUAGUCCUUGGCCAAAGGACUUCAUUUUGAUAUAACUGGACACAGAAAGUGCCUGUCCUCCUUGACUGGACAACACUGAGAGCCUCCCUGAUUUAGGUCUUUGCUGCAGAAACGGCAGCGAAGACUGGGUUCUGGAACGAGGGAGAAGGGACCCGAAGAUGGCCCUGGGUUAGUCCUCUCAGAUGCCAUCUGUUUGGAGUAUUGACUCUGAGGAGAGUGGAGAGGUUUCCCCCGGCUACAAGUCCAGGGAUGCGGAAACCGAUAUAAAUCAACAGCCCUUCCCAAACCAGUCAAGCAAAGCUCUAAUUGGAAAAGAGAAAUGGAAGUCACACACAGGUCGGGUUGAGGCCCAUUUUCAAACCAAAGGAGGUCAUUUCCUUUCUUAGCCUGGCAUCGCUGGCGGAAGAAUCGGUCAGGGGGCCAAGGCCCUGUUGACUCUGGGAGAAAAGCAAAUGGUUGCCCUCCAGGAGUAAGAACCUGGACUUUUAUCUGCCUUUGCGAGUUGCACUGCCUGCUCCCAAUCAAUCCCAGUGGUCUGGGGCCAGCACGAGAUAAGCAGGAAAGAGAAAAAGAGGUACAGGCCUGGGGGGCUGGACGGGGUGAGAAUAAAGAGAUUGUAUUUUUCAUUCCAUAGAUGCCACGGUGGGAAGAAGCUUUGCCUUCAAAACCUCUUAGAACAGACAGUUCUCAUUUCCAGCUGACUUCUUCAUCUUUCCUGGCUCCUUCUCUCUCCCCCCCCCCCUCCCCUCCCCACUCUCCUCUAUCUGCCUCGGCUGCUGGGUCUUCUCAAAGCUUCCCCCGGAAAAACUUGAGCCAAUUUACUCCCCUUAAACAACUGUCAGGUUUGAAAAGCUGCCCAGUGUCUUCGCUGUGAUUUUCAAAGAGAAACACAGGGCUAGGCUUUCGGCGACAGCAAGUAGGUAGGAGGAGACAGAGAACACAGAUACACACGCACGCUGCUCAGAAAUGCUGAAGCUGUAAUUGUGGGGAGACACAACCUUCCGGAUACCUGAGGAAAUGUCACAAAGAAAGAAAAGCAGGGAGUGGGGAGCUUGCGUUUAUGUGUUAGCUGCAGGAGUCGGGGCAUGGGGAAGGGGGGUGAGGGGUGAGAGGUGAGGGGGGUGGUGGGGCAUGACCCUGUUUGGCCUUGCCUGUCAAGACCAGAGAGUUACAGAGGAGCCAACCGAAGAUAUGUGGGCAAAAGGCCCGGCCACUUCUGACACGUCAGAGGACAGGUCUUGUCUGGCUUGGGUAGCUUGUGGGCAGAGAAGCAGCCCAGCCCACAAACCCAGAAAGCCCAGCCUCCGAGGCAAGGAUAGCAGCGGGGUGAACAGUUACCUGUGCGCCAGGUAAGCCCCGCCUUCCAUCUGUAAGCCCCGCCUUCCAUCUGUAAGCCCCGCCUUCCAUCCAUUACUUUGAAAGGAAAAGGCUUCCUGCGGCUGGCUGGUUUAGGGCUUGAAGUAGUGAAGACUAUACUCCCCUGGCUCUUUGUUCUGUCCUUUUCACUAUUCAAGACAGGUGCCAAAUGUGUCAUCAUGCCUGCUAGGGCCUGGCGUUGGCUCGCUGGCUGUGAGCAGUGACCGACGACCUGACAGAAGCAUUUUCCCUGAUUGCAUUUUUCACUUGGAUUGUGCCACACUUACUUACAUUUUGAGGGAGAAAGCAGUGGGUUGGGGAGGUCUGCAGAAAGCCUGAGGGUCCCAUAGCACGAGACUGUCCACCCGACACGCUAUAUAUCUUUUGCAUUUCAACUUAACCGAACACUGACACCGGAUGAACAAAUACUGAUCGGAAACCUGAGACGUUUAAAACGACGUAUAAGCCCCAUCUUCCACUGAAAUCGAAAAGGAAUGUGUUGGGGGAAGAAGAUGGGGCAUUAUCUACCUUUUAUUGGUAGUGAGCUCACAGUUGUAGAAAGAUACCUUCCGACUUCACAUCAUUACACACACAUGGAGGGCUAGUCCGUGCAAGAGAUAAGCCAUUAGCAAGGUCAUUCACUAUUUCUUCCUUUGCUGUCUGUUCUAAUUAUCUGUCUGCACCGAACUCUGGAGCCUUCCUUGGCCCUGCACGUUGGAAAAGGCAUGCGGGCUUCAUAUUCUUCAGGGCACUCUCUCGCUUUAGGUAAUGGGGGACUGUCUCUCACAACAGAACAAGGCGCGUGAUUCAAAUUCACACUGGCUAAGGAGUCUUCAGGUUCCGUUUUUAACCCUGCCAUGAGUAACAAUGCACAUGUGUAUUAAUAUCAUCGCGUUGGCAUUUACCAUACAGUUCGGGUGAAGGUAGGUACCGAGAUCCACUUUCGGUACUCGAGAGGUUACUCACCCGUUUCAGCCACAAACCUCACUUGAGAGCUCAAGGAUUAAAAGGGAGAGGGAAAUAAAUAUCACAAGGGUCACAUGCCCACCAACCCCACCAAACUACCCUGUUCCCUCUGAAUACAGCAAGGUCACCAGCCCUCAUUGGUCGAUCCGCCGGUAAAUGACCCAAACCAUUUCUGGCCAGUAAAUGCGUCUUUGUGACACACAAGGGUGUAGAAAUCAAGCUCCAAAUCGAUUGCCGGACAGAUUGGUGAGGAAGAUUUUUGCUUUUCUGCCCAAGCAUUCCCCUAGGCUUUCCCUUCAGGACCAAAGUAACAUGAAGAACCUGAAAGCGGCAAAAAUGUGCACACUGUGGGGCUACGUUUGCCAAAGAGCCAGUGACUUUGGUCAAAGUCCCCUCACUUCUCAAAUCUUCAACAGAUGUGCGGACAAUUUUCUAAGGGCAAAAUUUCCUCGUCCAUCGAUCCGGCCGCCCACGUUAUGGACGAAAGAAAGGUAAUGCUGAAAAUGACAGUGUCUGAGGAGCCAUCUCCAAGUGCCUUUUUAUUACGCACAAUUAGCCAUGAAAUGGAGAACCACUUCCUUUCUAAUAUGAAAUCGUCAGCCAUGGAGUUGCAGUUGAAAUUCACCACAGUGAUUUCAGCCAAUAGCUCUCCAUUUUGUGUCUUUUUUACUUUCUGAAAGCCCUCUCUCGGUCCUAGCACCACAGAAUAACGAGCAAACAGUUAAACUGGGCUCGCACUGAGUUUCCACGGCGAUUUAUGGUCUACCCAUCCUCCACAGGGACUCUGAAACCAUCCGAUGACAUCUCAUUUUGAAAUCUCUUGCAUUAAGGAAAGGGAUGGGUGUGGUACAUAAGUGAACUCUGGAUGUGAGUGAUAUUUAGACAAGUCUGUACUUCAAAACAGAGCUCUAACUCAUUUAACUUCCUAGGUCAUUACCUGGGGAUCUCAGUAUCCACCACUCAGCCUUCUCCAAACCACCCCCCCACCCCCCACACCCCCCGCACCUUUUUACAAAUAUAUCCUUCUAAAUUUAAACCUAAAUAUGUUUGGUUUUUUUUUCCCCCUCUGCAUUUUGCUUUGGAUCUUAAAAAUUCCCAGGUAGAUUUUUAUCUCCGUGCAUGAAAGCUUUAAGCCUGGAACCAAGUCUGCCCAAAUCACCACAACACUAAAACCGCCUUCAGGUUCUAGCACUCAGCAGAGGGACAAGCCACGUUUUAAACAGAACCGAUCAGGACACCAACCACUUAGCUUUCUGCCCCAGCUGACCUCUUGUGAUCUCUGACCUGGGCAUUGGAGUAAGUUAAGAGAAUGAGCUGGGUUUUCAGGGAGUAGCAUUGCUUUCUGGAAGGCACCCAGGUCUAAAGCUAAGUGCGGAAUUCGAACCAGCUCUGGAGUUGGCUCUGUCUGGGAACCUAUUCUGGAUCGCCCAAGUCCAGCCGCGGCUUCCCACAUCGGGGCGAGGAUUGAAGGAGGCGGGUAGCCGGCCAGGGAACACAAGUGGGGCUAAGGCGUGAACCAGGAGCCCAAGGGGAGGGGCUCGGAGCAUUUCCUGGCGGGGCUGCAGCACAGAAACUUUUCCUCCCGCCGAGAUGCGCUCGGGGCUGAGCUCUGCCGCCCGCCACGGCUGGUGGGGUCCGGGCAGGACACACCCGCCGCACCCGGGCGGAGCCGGAGCGCUGGGCGAAGCCGCGGCGGGCCGGGGAGGGGGGCGCGGCGGGGCCGGGCAGUGCGCGCGGCGGGCGCCUCGCGCCCGGGGUCCUCACCUGUUCCAGCGGGCCACCUUCCUCCGGUAGUACCGCAGCGCCUCCUGGCUGGCCAGGAGCGAGUCCUCCGGCCCGAGGAGCGGCGGCUCCUCCGGGACGCGGUACAGCGGGUGGGCGUAGAGGGCCUGCAGUUUGGAGCCGCGGCCGCCGCGCCGCUCGGGCCCGGGCCCGGCUCGGGAAAAGUUGCGCGCGGCCGCGCGGGGGGCCGGGGAGGCGGCGGCGGGGGCCGGGCCCGGGGAGGCGGCGCGGCGGGCGCACGGGCAGCCCCGCGGGUGCUCCCGGGGCCGCAGCUGGCGCCGCACCUGGGGCCAGAGGUGGAAGUAGAGGUCGGCGGAGAGCAGCGCGCCCAGCAGCAGCAGGGUCAGCAGGCGGUCCCGGCGCAGCGCGGGCAUGGCCCCGCCGGGGCGCGCGGGCGUCUCCGGGGACCCGGGCGGGCGCUGGGCGCCGAGGGCCGGACGGGGUCGAUGGGGCCGGGGUGCUCACCGCGCGGGAUCGCACCCCUCCCCCUCCUUGAGGGGUGUCGCCCCUGAACUUGGGGACCGGCGGCGCGGGGGCUCGCGGUGUUGCCGGGCGUCUCUUCUCCGCGUGGACUGGAGACCCGGGGAUGGUGCCUCUGGGCCCCUGCUUCCGGCACCUUCUCUCCCCGCGCCGCCGGCCCGGGAGCCCGCGGCAGGGAAGGGCCGGGGGCGCGGGUGCCUGCUGUCCCCCGCGGGCGGACGGGCGGCGGGGCCGGGGGGCGACGGCGAACGGGAGCGCGGGGAGCGGGCGGCGGCGCUCGCCUCCGGGCAGAGGAAGGCGGCUGCGGAGCCUGGGGCGUCUCUCCAGAGGAUGCUGUCGCCUGGCGGCUGCUGCGACUGCUCCCGCGGCUCCUUCUGCGGGCGGCGGGGACGCCCGUGCCCCCGGCUGCUCUGGGCGAGCUCGUCUGCGCGCCCGACUCCUAGAGGCAGAGGUGACGCCGGGCCUCCCCCGCCUGGCCGGGCGCCCGCCCCUCCGCCCACUCGCAGCUGGCACCUGCCUCUGCCGCAAGCUCGCCAGCCAACUCCCGAUGCCUCUGCCGGCUCUGCCCUUGCACCUUGUCACCCAACCCGCUGGGCGCGCCCAUCCCCCUCGCCCCAGGCCUCCCACUUUCCCUGCUCAGGACUCAGUCCAGGCACUUUGGGGAGUCAGGGUGUGUGUGUGUGUGUGUGUGUGUGUGCGCGCGCAACCUUUUAUUUUCAUUUUUAGAAAAAAGACAAUCCCCCGAAAGUCUUUCUCUUGUAAGAUUUACCAGAUGGGUGUGUGUGUGUGUGUGUGUGCGCGCGCGCGCGCGCGUGUGUGCAUUGUCUUUUCCCUCUUUGUAUCUUCCCACCCGGCACAUCCUAGGUCCAUAACAACUACGUGCCAGGGUGCCUGGCACUUAGUAGGCACUCAGGAAAUACCCAGUCAAUGAAAUAAAAAAAGUUGGUCCUUUAAAAAUAAGGCGCCACGUUUACCUAGAAUCUUGGUGAUUUCCUGUUUGGAUGGAGUUUGAUUCCAACUGUGCUUGUCCUUUACAAGGAGGAAAUUUCUCCCGCACUCAAAGAGGGAGGGGCCGCCCGCUGACCCUCCUCUGAACUUUUGCAUUUAGCUCGGUGUGAAAGUAGUCCACCCAAAUGAAUCACUGGAGGGCACAUGUUACGUUUCCUCCUGAUGGCUCGUGAAGUAAUUCAUGCUCCCCCCACCUCAUUUUCCUUUUGGGGAAGAGGGAGGAGGAGGGGGCGGGCCAGGCCUGAACUUCUGGCUCCUCUAUUUAAUGACCUGGGGCGCGCUUGGGGGGACAGGAGAGUGCAGUUCUGAUCAGGGAGGCGGCCCCACCCUGCUGAAUGUUCAAGAAAAUACAUCUUUGCCAUGAGUUGCCUGCCCAGACAGCAAAGAUUCCCACGUAUGUUCAGCUUACUCUUUAACCCUCUCCUUCCCUUGCUGGAGUUAGGAAUCCUCAGACCCCUUUGGCUUGUGGGUUCAGAUCAGCCUUCUUUCCCCUGUGGUUCAGUGGGGGGAGGGAGGGGGGAGGUUCUUGUGUUCUUCGCCAUCCCCUCAUCUGUCACUGAAAGAUAAUAAUAGGACCUACCCCAUAGGGUUGUUGUGUGCUUGAAACAGCCCCCAGCACAUGGUAAAUAAGUGGGAAAUCUUUGUUUGCUAGAAACAGUUAGGACUUCUUGGCUCCUGUAGCACACUGGGUUAAGUGGGAUACAAUUUAUGAGUGGGACAAAAGACAUAAAGUGUGAAAAAGCAGGCCAGACAGGGACCACUUUCAGGAGCACAUCAUGGCCUCAAAGCCCAGUCCUGGUGAGAAAUCCCAAGAUGAUGCCAUGGGCCCCUGCUUCACUCUGCUGCUGGCCUAUGGUGGUGGUGAUUUGUAAGCCUUGUUGAAUGAGCUCCAUCUUUUUAUUGGAAUCAACUUUCAACUGGUCCCCAAUUUCUGAGAAACUUUGCAACUUCUUUUUCUCUUUUUUAAUGUUUAUUUAUUUUUAAGAGAGAGAGAGAGAGAGAGAGAGCCGGAGCGUAAGCAGGGGAGGGGCAGAGAGAGGGAGACACAGAAUCUGAAGGAGGCUCCAGGCUCUGAGCUGUCAGCACAGAGCCUGACGCGGGGCUAACUCACAAACUGCGAGAUUAUGACGUGAGCCGAAGUUGGAGGCUUAACUGACUGGGCCAGCCAGGAGCCCCCCAAUUUUGCAACUUCUGAUGUGUCUGGUUAGGCAUCAUGGCGAGGGGAUGGAGAAACCAGGCACACAUGUGGCAGGACUGCUUUGCCUUUUUCUGGGCUGGCAAAGGAUAUGGGCACGAAGCCAUCGCAGUCUUUCGACUCCAGUUCUCUUCCACUCGUGUGGCCAUGCUUCCUUAGCACUCGCUUGUCUGGCCUCAGUUCAGGGAACAGUAUUUUUAACUUGAUUAGAGAUUAUCUAAGUACAUUUCCCCUGCCCUAUAAAGGUCAAGGGCAAAACUGUAUGUGGAAGUCAGAUGUUAGGUGUGCAUGAGGUCCGGGUGGGGGAGGUGAAAUCCUAGGGGCAGGAUGCCCCUGUCCUCAGUGUCUUUCCCCGCUCUCAGCAAUGGGCCUGGCCCUUCUGUUCCUGCUCUGACUCUCCACAUCUUGGCCCCUGGCUUCCUCACCCACAUUUCUUCAGUCCACACCCAGAUUAUCCCCAACCGCUGUUUGCCAGAGACAUUGUUUCAAGCCUCUCACUGUAAAUCCAGCCCCACCCUUCCGUUCCCACUGCUCUCGACUGCAUCCAGGGUCCCAACUUUUCUUGCUUAGACUCUUGCAAAUAGGCUCCUCGGCUGGUCUCUCAGCUUCCGACAUGGUCCCAUUUCAGUGCCCACCUGUGUUAUGAUGUAAUCAAAACUUCCCAGAGUGAGCUUUCUAGCAUGCAGAUACAGCGAUGAUGUCCUCCUGGUGAAAAGCCUCCAUGGCUUUGUGUCUGGCCUAGGCUACAUGUCAUGACGUGGCCCUUCAUGUUUUGGCUUCUGUUUCCCCUUCCUGCCUCGUCUGCCACCUCUCCUUUAGAUGCCGUUCAGGUUUCAGCCCACAAUACUUUCUGCAAUUCCCCGAGUGCUUCAUGCACUCGUGGACAUGCCUUUAUUCAAAAACUCUUUUGCAUUUCCCUACCCGGAGAAUUGUCUGUCCAAGCUUUGGCCUCCUGUCCCACGUUCCCUGAUGCUUUUCCUCAUGCCCAUUAAGCUCAAUAUCAUGUACUCUCAGGUACCCUUCUAGCUCUUUCCAUACACUCCUAUUAAAGCGUUGACCAGGCUGUGUUUUGUUGUUUGCAUGUGUGAGAGGUUGAACUAUGCACCCCCCCCUUGCCAAUUUAUAUGUUGAAAUCCUAACCCUUAAUACGUCAGAAUGUGAUCUUAUUUGGAAAUAGGGUCAUUGCAGAGGUAAUUAGUUAAGAUGAGGUCAUAUUGGAACAGAGUGGGCCCUUCAUCUAAUAUGACCAGUGUCCUUGUAAAGAAGGGGAAUCUGGACACUGAGCUAGGCACACAGGGGGAUCUCCACAUGAAGCCGAGGGCAGAGGUCAGACUCAUGCUUCUAAAAGCUGCGGGGACCAAAGAUGGCCAACAAACCACCAGAAACUAGGUAAGAGGCAAGCAGCUGAUUCUCCUUCAUGAUUUUUGGUAGAAACCAUCCCUGUCAACAUGUUGAUCUCAGACUUCUGGCCUCCAGAACCAUGAGCCGAUACACUUCCAUUGUUUAAGCUCCCCAGUUUGUGGUCCUUUGUGACAGCAGCCCAAACACACAAUGCCCAUGUCUGCCUUCCUCGCUCAAGUGCAGAGGGAGAGUGUUUCUUAUCUCUGGACCCGAAGCUCUGAGGACAGGGCCCAUCACUUGCAGGAGAAGUUUGCGCUCAGUGAAUGAAGGCAAAUCUUCGAGGGCAGGGAUCUCAGGUUAGCUCUGCAAUUGUAGCAUAUCACAUAGGGCCUGGGACCCAGGAGGGGCUGAACCGUGGGCUACAAUAAAAUAACAGAGUUUUAGGCCCUGGAGGAGACACAGAAGGAGUAUCAGACACAGUUCCCGCCUUCAAGCAUCUUUUAUGGUUAGUAGAGAAGAGAGAUCUGUCUGUACCUAUGAGACGAUCGAGAACAAGUCUGAGGCGGAAGGCUGGCCAGAUUAGAGAAUCUGUAUCCCUGCAUGAAUUAAGGGGCAAAAGCAAAGGACACCCGUGUUUCCUUUUAGUCUAGCUAAAUAUCCAUCUCUCGAUUUCCAGGAAUUAAGUUGUGAGAACAACAGAGUCAGUAUUUAAAUGCAAGGGUUCCUUCAUCUGUGAAGGUUAUACUCUAUUUUUAUCUUGCACGUGUCCGUAUGUUGCUUAAAACACGACUCCUUGUUUCUUGUUUGUGUGGCUGGUUUCCUCCACUAGACUGUAACUCUGCAUACAGGGCCAACACACUUUCUUCUUUUCCCUGCUUUUAUAGGAUCUCGUACACAGCAAGGCAUACAGCUGAGAAUUCACACAUUCCUGUGGAAUAAAUACGAUUUGUGUAUGUGGGUCUGUGCGUGUUCACGCCUAUGGCGGGCAGGGCGGUUAAGAGGUGUAUUUAGAGUAAAAAUCUGGGCUUACAAAAUCUGGCUCUAGGUAAAUGUUAACUAUUAUAUUUAACUGGAACAUCUAAAUCUUAGGCAUCUUAAUGGGCCUAUUGAAAAGGCUAUAGCUAAGAGACGUAUGAUGAACUCUGUGCUAACUGCAAUUAGCUGCGUCCCUAAGAGUUGUUGUUACUAUACAGAUGGGGGAAGGGGCAUGUGACUGUUACCUUCUAGCUGUCUCAGCUAUCCCUGAGAGAGGAGGAAGGCGGUUCUGUACUCUACAUGGCAUGCAAGAGUACGAAUCCCGAGUGCAGUGAGAUAAAGAAAUGAUUUGGUGUCAUACCCAGUCUCUUCUCUUAUGCUGAGCUAGAAAGAACAGAACUUUCUUUUAAUGACCAAGACAUGAUGCUUCAACUUCGGCCAGACAUUUUCUCCAAGUUUAGCCCGUGCGUCAGAAUUACCUGGGGUGUUUAUACAAAUGCAAAUUCCAGGCUCCCACGCUAGAGCUAGUGAAUCAGAAUUUUUGGAAGUGGACCCAGGAAUGUAUAAUUUCAAUAAGCUGAUUCGUAUCAGCGUGUAAGAUUCUGUGCACACAGAAGUCCAAUUCUGAUACCACUGAGGUUGGGGAAUCUUUGGUGCUAAUGAGAACAGUCAUAGAUUUGAUUUCAAAUGAUUCUGCUAGGAUCCAUUGUGCAAUGUUGGCCACCCACCUGUGUCAUAAGGUCAUGGGGGACACUAGAGAGAGUGUCUGGCCCAACAUGAUCUAUCUCGGCUACAGCUGCUGAGCAAAACAAACAACCCCAGUGCAAAUGGCAGGUAUGUAGUGUGAUCUUGCUAUAAAACGUCAUGUCUUUGCUUAUUAGUAAAUUUCCUUUUUUGAAACUGAAUUAGUUUCUCUGGCCCCAGUUUUCUCAUCUGAAAUGUGAAAUAGAGAAAUGAAUGAUCCCUAAGGCCCCUUUUCAGUUCUAAAAAAUGAUAAUUUUACCAUUUUGUCUUGUAUGAAGCACAUAAUAGCGAAGCUUUUUGUGCACGACCUAUUCUCACUAUAUACCAAAUGAUUGAGAUAGCAAGCCAGCGCAUUAUAUAGGAAGAGUAAGAGCACUGAACUUGAGAGUCAAGAAGCUUAGAUUUUGGCCCUGGCUCAGCAACAUAGGGAAAAUUGUUUAAUGUCUCUGGGCUUCAUUUUUCUACCGUGUAAAAUGACUACUUGAAGUCAGAAAAUUUCAAAAUUCCAUUCCAGAGUGAAUUUCCUCUAGGAAUGAUGAUGAAAUGUCAACAAAAACGAAGAGAAGCUAUUGCCAGCAGCCCUGCUCCAACAGAACCAUGAAAGCAAGUUAUUCAGAUGGAUUGCAAAUACUACCGGAGGGAAACUUGGAACAUCAAGACUGAAGGAAGAGCAACAGAAAUGGUAAAAAUCUGGUGGGUAGAUAUAAUAGAUUCUUUUCCUCCUCUUCAGUUCUUUAAAAUAUGUAUGGUGGUUGAAAGCAAAAAUUAUAAUUAUGGAGUUUUAACACAUGUAGACUUAAUAAUCACUACAACAUAAGGGACCUAUAUGCUGGUAAGGGUUCUAUAUUCCACUCGAAGUGGGGAAAUAUUAACUCUAGGUAGAUUGAAAAGGGUUAAGUUUGUAUAUUUAAUCCCUACCAUGACCACUAAAAAAAAAGAAA